AUACUUACCUGGCAGGGGCGAUACCAUGAUCACGAAGGUGGUUCACCCAGGGCGAGGCUCUGCCAUUGCACUUGGGUGGUGCUGACCCUUGCGAAUUCCCCAAAUGCGGGAAUCUCGACUGCAUAAUUUCUGGUAGUGGGGGACUGCGUUCGCACUCUUCCCUG
Molecule: small nuclear RNA, 164 nt
Organism: Pygocentrus nattereri (red-bellied piranha)
Lineage: Eukaryota; Metazoa; Chordata; Actinopteri; Characiformes; Serrasalmidae
Gene: U1
Rfam family: U1 spliceosomal RNA
About the family: U1 is a small nuclear RNA (snRNA) component of the spliceosome (involved in pre-mRNA splicing). Its 5' end forms complementary base pairs with the 5' splice junction, thus defining the 5' donor site of an intron. There are significant differences in sequence and secondary structure between metazoan and yeast U1 snRNAs, the latter being much longer (568 nucleotides as compared to 164 nucleotides in human).
Source: Ensembl